GGUAGGGGACGGGCGGCGGUGGAUGGAUGGAAGAGGUAGCCCUAGACAGACUAGGUGGGUGGUUGGUGUAGGUCCAGACAGACUAGGUGGGUGGUUGGUGUAGGUCUGACUUCGACGGAGGAGGAAGGAGCGCAAACUUGGGUUCCUCAGGGACGCAGCACGAGGAGGGAAUGGGCUCAGACGGUGCAUGUCGCGGGGUGCGGCCGCCCGACGUCGUCGUCGAGGGGUAGGGGCUGAGGGCUCGUGGAGGUGGGAGCAGCAGGGUCCUGGGCGGUACCUUUGGGGUAGCGGAGCGGUUCAUGGAGCAACCUCUCGCGGAGGUACCUCGGCUCCUGGAGGACGUGCGACGGAGGCCGGGCCACGUGAAACGGAGACGGCAUAGGUCGUGACGUGGCUGCUCGCGGUGACGGCUUCGGCGACGCAGGGGAGCGGUAGCUCGUAGUAGUCUGGCGGUGUGGAGAGGAAGCAGAGGAGGAAGGAGACCGAGAGAGUAGAGAGAGAAUGGACUGAGGAAAGGGAGAGACAAAACGGAUGUCUAAGCCGGGCGGACGGCGGAGCUAGGCCAACUGACGUAGCGGGUCUAGACGGCGGAAGGCAGGAAGCGGCGGGCAUCGAGACGCAGCGCGUCUCCUGCUUGCGGUGUCGGCGGAGCACAACUGGGCGGUCGUGGUUCUGGGUCGCGCGCGAACCCGACGGAGAGGAGGUCGCGACUCCGGGUCCGGAGAGGUCGGUCUAGACGGUCGGGGCGUCCGGGUAGAAGAGGAGAGCCGGGCUACACUCGUCGGGUUCGAGGGGACGUGACAACCCGGCGGAUUCUAAGCCGGGCCCUGAACAUAAAAAAGGCGUAUCGCUAAAAGGAUAAAAAAAUCUCUGUUGGUCAAAAUGUUUUUCCAGGGAUUUGAAGUACGUAUAUUAUUUAAUUAUUGGUACGUAGCCUAAUUUUGUUUGAAUUAUACUUUCAACGAAUCUUAAAACAGAUCAAAUUAUUAUACGGUGAAAGUCCGUACAAUUUAUACAAAUUAUACAACGAACAAAUUUAAACAGGUUUACGGUACAAUUUUACGAAAUUAAGUAUUGAUUUAUUGGCAUUGAAACUUAAAUUAUUUAAAAUAUACAUUUACCCCACCUUUUUACGGAUCAAAUUGUACCACUGGAAUGAAACUUACAAAUUAUUGAGAUUUUAAUACAAAUACCGUCUUGUCAUGGUUUGGAUUAAAUACGCAUACCCCUAAAUGGCCUUAACAACAAGCAACGAAGCCCGGAGUAAAUUUGAACGGAUCAAUCCAUCAAAACAACACGAAGUGGGGAACGGUACAAUUAGUUGUAAAUUAUAAAAACCCAUGUGUUUGCCCUCUCUUGAUUUAUUAACAACACCACAAAGUAGUUAUACGUUGAGCAACGUAUAACUCGAGGUAAAUUAAACAUCAAAACGAACACGUGAAACGGUACGGUACGUAUAAAUUUGGCCUGUACGUAGUAUGAACCAACACGUAGUACAGUACGAAUACACCACCAACAAAUGAAACAACAAACGAAAGAAAGGCCACAUGAAGAAGAGCCAUUAGGCCAUUGUAGCGUAAACACUCCUAGGCAAGCUGAUGCAGGCGAACAGAAGAAGUACCUGAGUAAGAAGAAGGAACGCCCUAGAGUCAAACGUCCACGGCUACAAUGGCACGUCCACUGCGUUGGUUCGAGUCCUCCUCGAGCUACUUCUAGAACAGGUAACACAACAAAGCAAAGUCAGCUAGUCAUCACCUCGGGUCAGCCCUGCUAGCCCCUAGACACAUCGUAAACCCCAUCAGAAGAAAAUAAAACCAAGGCAUCAACCUGGAACACACAUAGACCUACUACAUUACAAAAUAAGUACAUUAACACACUUCACCGCUAAAAUUCGGUUGAUACAUAGAGAAAGGGAAUACAUAAUGUACCCAACACACUUCUAAUGGAGUGAACGCUGUAACGAAAGUUACGCCAAUACGGAGAUUCAGCACGAAGCUGUGCACCCUCUAUAUCAGCGUAUCUCCCGCAAUGUUCAACCAUAGUCUCGGAAGGGGUUGAAUCCUCGGGGGACGAACUAGCUUAGUGAACG
Molecule: ribosomal RNA, 2089 nt
Filed under: Triticum aestivum (bread wheat)
Lineage: Eukaryota; Viridiplantae; Streptophyta; Magnoliopsida; Poales; Poaceae
Description: partial small subunit ribosomal RNA
Source: RNAcentral